Molecule: ribosomal RNA, 510 nt
Filed under: uncultured microorganism
Description: bacterial SSU rRNA
Rfam family: Bacterial small subunit ribosomal RNA
Source: RNAcentral
GAGUUUGAUCGUGGCUCAGGAUGAACGCUGGCGGCGUGCUUAACACAUGCAAGUCGAACGGAACUUGUAAGUGGAAGUCUUCGGAUGGAAACUUACUUGUUUAGUGGCGGACGGGUGAGUAACGCGUGGGUAACCUGCCUUACACAGGGGGGAUAACAGCCGGAAACGGCUGCUAAUACCGCAUAAGCGCACAGCUUCGCAUGGAGUGGUGUGAAAAGAUUUUAUCGGUGUAAGAUGGACCCGCGUCUGAUUAGCUAGUUGGUGGGGUAACGGCCUACCAAGGCAACGAUCAGUAGCCGGCUUGAGAGAGUGAACGGCCACAUUGGGACUGAGACACGGCCCAAACUCCUACGGGAGGCAGCAGUGGGGAAUAUUGCACAAUGGGCGAAAGCCUGAUGCAGCGACGCCGCGUGAGUGAAGAAGUAUUUCGGUAUGUAAAGCUCUAUCAGCAGGGACGAAUAAAUGACGGUACCUGACUAAGAAGCCCGGCUAACUACGUGCCAGCCGCCG